UACGGAGGGGGCGAGCGUUGUUCGGAGUUACUGGGCGUAAAGCGCACGUAGGCGGUGCGGUAAGUCUGGUGUAAAAGGCAGCGGCUCAACCAUUGUAUGCAUUGGAAACUGGUAGACUUGAGUGCAGGAGAGGAGAGUGGAAUUCCAUGUGUAGCAGUGAAAUGCGUAGAGAUCAGGAGGAACACCGAUGGCGAAGGCAGCCCCCUGGGCCUGUACUGACGCUCAUGCACGAAAGCGUGGGGAGCAAACAGG
RNAcentral lists this ribosomal RNA (252 nucleotides) under uncultured microorganism. RNAcentral's name for it is "partial 16S ribosomal RNA". It matches the Rfam family "Bacterial small subunit ribosomal RNA", at positions 524 to 776 of the family's 1533-position model. The record is from RNAcentral.